Molecule: non-coding RNA, 75 nt
Organism: Caenorhabditis elegans
Lineage: Eukaryota; Metazoa; Nematoda; Chromadorea; Rhabditida; Rhabditidae
Source: Ensembl
UUUAGGCUUAGGCUUAGGCUUAGGCUUAGGCUUAGGCUUAGGCUUAGGCUUAGGCUUAGGCUUAGGCUUAGGCUU